UACGCCGCGGGGCGGGGCGCCGGGACUCGCCGCCGCGGCUCUGCCCGCCGCAGGGAGGGGGGAAGCAGGGCUCUGGCAGUGCCGAGGCGGUGCAGGUUCGCGCUAUGGCCCUUUAUUGUCUCGCACACACGGCCCGGGGCCCUGAGGGCUCUUCCGCCCCGCGCAGCGCCCUGAUUAGGUGAUGCCAAGCCAAGCCAGCGUGCUUUCCACUUCAGCGGUUCUGCUGCUGAUCAGUGCACUUCCAGCUCCUGGUGGAGGUGUUGGCAAUAAGAUACAUCACUGUGAACUGCAUUUCCUUUCAUUUGAGACUACCUCAAUUCAGGAAAUAUGUGGAUGCCAGCAAGACCAGCUAUGUCCACAGAAGAGAGAAAAAGUCACUCAGCCUAUGACAACAUCUCCCAUCUUUCUCCAAACACUGGAUCACCUCUCUAGGAUGAGGUGCUAUUUUUAAUCUCCUAGUUUUCAGCAUAUGUUGAGAGUGCUUCCAUGGACUUUCCAUCUUAUCCUUUUCAAGCUUUGCAUCCUGGGUCUGUAAGUCUGAAAUAAUAAACAAGUAUUAGCAA
Dromaius novaehollandiae (emu) is the source of this 563-nucleotide long non-coding RNA. RefSeq lists it as uncharacterized. Lineage: Eukaryota; Metazoa; Chordata; Aves; Casuariiformes; Dromaiidae. The record is from RefSeq and is a predicted model, not a curated record. The transcript is spliced from 3 exons.